This 338-nucleotide long non-coding RNA is filed under the name Gossypium raimondii (Peruvian cotton). Its description in RNAcentral is "long non-coding RNA (GRAI_LNC008954)". The record is from RNAcentral. Lineage: Eukaryota; Viridiplantae; Streptophyta; Magnoliopsida; Malvales; Malvaceae.
AUCACAAACACGAAUUAAGUCAUUUUAAUUAAAAUAGAAGCAUCAAAAGAACAAGUAUUCAUGUUUUUUUUAUCACAAAAUAAACUUGAAAAGAAUAAGAGAAGUGAACUAGAAAAUAAAUCUUGGUGUUUCUCUGAAGCCAGACUAGCGUGCUUCUCUUUCUUUCUACUUGUUUUGUCGAUCAAAGACCUUCAUGAAUGCUUGAUUACUGCUGCUCCAAGGGGUGUGCUAGCUCUUUCUCAAGAGGGAAAAUCGGCAAAAGGAAGGGAGAAAAUUGGGAAGGCCAAAGAGAGUGAAUGAAAGAAACGACAGAAGAGAUGAGUGAAUGAUGAAUGGUG